GGGCCUGUAGCUCAGGUGGUUAGAGCGCACGCCUGAUAAGCGUGAGGUCGGAGGUUCAAGUCCUCCCAGGCCCACCA
This 77-nucleotide transfer RNA is filed under the name Alphaproteobacteria bacterium. Its description in RNAcentral is "tRNA-Ile". It matches the Rfam family "tRNA". Rfam says of the family: Transfer RNA (tRNA) molecules are approximately 80 nucleotides in length. Their secondary structure includes four short double-helical elements and three loops (D, anti-codon, and T loops). The record is from RNAcentral. RNAcentral also lists the same sequence under 1 other name. Lineage: Bacteria; Pseudomonadati; Pseudomonadota; Alphaproteobacteria.